UGAGCUAUUGAACGCCACGACUAAUUUGCUCNAUUUACUACUUUCACUAACCAACAUUUGGUCGCAAAAGGAUGCAAAUUAACCAACUUUUUUUAUACCUAAUUCGAGCCUGUUACCGACCAUUGUUUAGAUCGUUGAAUAAUACGAUUCAACGACCACUUGUCAUUGGUCAUUAAAGACAUUCACUGACUAAUUAGUGACCAUAAUAUUUUAGUAAAGAUCUUUAGCGACCAAAAUAUUGCCUUUACCGAGCAAUUUUAUUUGUCCCUGGAGACCUUAUUUUUUGCAAGAGCUUAGAGAACAAAUUCAUAGUAAGUAUCCCUAAAUGGAUUGGCUAUCUAUUGAGCUUAGCAUUAUUCUACUUUGAGGCAACAAUUUUGAAGCCAUAAUUCCUUACCAACAAUACCGAACAAGGCUUUGUAUGAUAGAUCUAUUUUAUAAUAGCCUCAAUGGUUAGAUACCGCACUGUUUGGGUAACAUAACACUAGCGCUAAUCGAGAUGAAGUCUAGAAUGGUUCAAGGGGAUACCUUUUCUUCAAUAGUCACAUUUAGGUCAUACAUGGAUAGGAUUGAGUCUGAAAGGGCCUAUCAUGUGUCUCUCCAAAAAGUAGAAGAAUUCGGAUUCACUAUUGGGAAAAUUACAAUAUUACAACAAAGAAAAAAAUCGUAUUCUUAUUAGGGUAGCUAUCCUCAACCACAUGUCAAGAAUUGAUCUAUCUUCUAAUAAAUUAUAUGGUGAUAUUUUAGAGGAACUUGGAGAGUUAAGGGAGAUCCGUGCACUAAACUUAUCCACAACAAUCUUAGUGGAACAAAUCCAGCAACAUUCUCAAAUCUACAUCAAGUCGAGAGUUUGGAUAUCUCCUAUAACAACUUAGGAGAGACAAUCCCCUUGGAUUGGUCAACUUCAACUCUUUGCAAGACGUCAGUGUGGCAUAUUACUGUUGGAAUUUAAUGAUUUUAAUAGAUAAGAUUUAGUUAUUUUAUUAAGUAUGAAUUAGAAAGGUCUCCAGUUGUGAUAUAAUUAGUCACGAUAUUUCAAAUGCAAAGUAUGCAUAAUGAAUACUAAAGAUUUUUCAGAUCGUGUGACUACAAAAAUGUGCAUAAUAAAAAGCCAUGGCCUUUUAAUAGGGAGUGAUCUAGGCUAUUAGAUCAUGACACAAUCUAAAAAAGUGUGAUCUAAUUAUCUAAGAUUAAUUUAUAUCAAAUUGUGCACGUUUUAAGAAAUCCAAUUAUAAAACUGAAUUCAAUUUUCUUCACUCCAAAUCAAUUUAAAAUAAUUGAUUUCUAGUUCGUUCUUUCUCCAAACUCCAUCAAAAUAAUUCUAAAUUAUUUUUGAGUUCAUGUUCGAUAUUUUGAUAAUAAUAAUUGAAAAGAUUUCGGGGCGUUACAACCUGAAUCUGAAUUCCACCAGGGACUAGAGUUCCGGGCAUUGGUACUUUAAUACGUCUCUAUUUCUUCCUUUUCAAGACUUAGAAAUCUCUCGUUUGUGUCGAAUUAUUUAGUAAGCUGGAUUGAGAACGAAAGUAUCUUGGCACCUCUCUUUUUAUUUUAUUAUUAUUUUUUUUUUGGCUCUCUUUGCUUCUCCUAUGAUAAUACCCGUAAUGAAGAAUGUGAAGCAUUUCUUCAUGCCUCAGAUGCUGAGUACUUAAAGGGAUUUCUUGUACGUUUCAUAAUAUUAAGGAGCUAAUAUUAUUCAAAAAAUAAUAAUAAUAAUAAUUUGUAUAAACAGAGAAAGUUUGAAUGCAAAGCUAUUAGAGAAUCUAUGAUUGUAUUAAUUCCCAUGUGUAUUUCUUUGUACAAUUUUACUACGGGUUAAAUUCACCAAUGACCAACCAACUUUAUAUUUAGUGUUUAUUGGUCACCCAUUGGAUUUUCUUUUACCAUUGGCCACUGAACUUUAUAUUUAGUAAUAUCAUGGCUAUCCAAUUUGAUUUUAUAUCAACUUGGCCACCUAAUUUCCUUUCACCCUCUUCACUAAUUUCCUUUAUAUAUCUCGAUCUAAAGAAAUGAAAAUAGAAAAUCUUGAAUCUUUAGUUACUAAAAUCAUUGAAACUAAUUGAUUAAAAUUUGAAACCCUUUUGCGUAACUUUCUAUAAACAAAAUGGGGCCUGGUAGAGAAG
Molecule: long non-coding RNA, 2120 nt
Filed under: Olea europaea subsp. europaea
Lineage: Eukaryota; Viridiplantae; Streptophyta; Magnoliopsida; Lamiales; Oleaceae
Source: RNAcentral